AUGAUUUCAAACAUGUUAAAAGUAAUUAAUUUUACUCGACAAAAUAUUAUCUGGGUGUUUUUCAAAAACCGCGCGCAUUUUUCAGUCAGUCGCGUCCACACUCUGCUCAUCCCCCGCGGGACCGCGCUCACUCGCUCACUCACACUGAUCACAGCAGGACUACAGGCGACGCGGUCACGGAAAAUAACAGCCGGACACAGACAAACGAGUCCCGCAAAGUGUAUUUUUAAACUAAGGUUAGAGAGACGGCUGACAGUAUCUUCGUCAUCUCUAACCGUCACUCCCGCCACAGAUCUGAAGCGAGGAACAAUAUCAGUCAUUCAAGCUAUGAUCCUGGCAGAUCUACUAUCUGAAAAAAGACUCAGCAGAUUUUUUUCAAGACACACAAGAUGGAGCGUGGAGAGACCGGACAGUUCCCACAGUGCUAGUUUUUCAGCACCCACACCCCACACACAAAUUCAUAUAGAAGUUUUCAAUAAUAAAAAGUUUAUAUGA
Cyprinus carpio (common carp) is the source of this 495-nucleotide long non-coding RNA. The record is from Ensembl. NCBI's taxonomy places the organism in Eukaryota, Metazoa, Chordata, Actinopteri, Cypriniformes, Cyprinidae.